UACGUAGGAGGCAAGCGUUGUCCGGAAUUACUGGGCGUAAAGCGCGUGUAGGCGGUCUGAAUAGUCUGCUGUGAAAGCGCCUGGCUUAACCGGGCGAGGUCGGCGGAAACUCUCAGACUGGAGGCCGGUAGAGGGGGGUGGAAUUCCCGGUGUAGUGGUGAAAUGCGUAGAUAUUGGGAGGAACACCAGUGGCGAAGGCGGCUCACUGGACCGGUACUGACGCUGAUGCGCGAAAGCGUGGGGAGCAAACGGG
Molecule: ribosomal RNA, 253 nt
Filed under: uncultured bacterium
Lineage: Bacteria
Description: partial 16S ribosomal RNA
Rfam family: Bacterial small subunit ribosomal RNA
Source: RNAcentral